GGGUUAGAUUUAGGGUAAAACCGAUUAUAAAAUCUGUUGUUAUUCGUUUGUCAGACAACCACCGCAGCCGUCAGACAACCACCGCAGCCGUUAGACAUGGCUACUGCUUUUUCCUGCAACUUCAAUAAAAUCUGGCCUCCCGAUUUGGUUAAAUCAACGGAUGUUGAAGAACGAUCGUUGACUGCUCAUCGGAUUUCGGAAGACCCAUCUCGUUUCAGGUUUAGGAUGCUAAAACAGGCACCGACUUAUUCAUCUUUGAAGGUCAUGAUGCACCUGUUAGUUCUAUAUGCCGCAUAGUAAAGAUAACAUUAAGUAUAUCUUUUCAACGGCUAUCAAUGGAAAGAUCAAGGCAUGGUUACAUGCUGAUCGAGUUUCAAAAAUUAAUUAUGAAACCGAUGGUUAUGUCUGGACAAAAUGGCAUACAAUACUGAUGGGUCAUGUAACGCUUCACAUUUAUGUAUAAUCCAUAUUUAGACGAAAUGGCAUACAAUACCGAGGGGUCAUGUAACGCUUAGCAUUUCUGUAUAAUCCAUAUUUAGAAAGUUGUAUUCACAUUUAUAUUUAUAGAAACUUGUAUUUGUAUUUCA
Long non-coding RNA from Helianthus annuus (common sunflower), 587 nucleotides. RefSeq lists it as uncharacterized. NCBI's taxonomy places the organism in Eukaryota, Viridiplantae, Streptophyta, Magnoliopsida, Asterales, Asteraceae. The record is from RefSeq and is a predicted model, not a curated record. The transcript has 4 exons.